This 520-nucleotide ribosomal RNA is filed under the name uncultured Glomeromycotina. RNAcentral's name for it is "SSU rRNA". It matches the Rfam family "Eukaryotic small subunit ribosomal RNA", at positions 569 to 1095 of the family's 1831-position model. Lineage: Eukaryota; Fungi; Glomeromycota. The record is from RNAcentral.
AGCAGCCGCGGUAAUUCCAGCUCCAAUAGCGUAUAUUAAAGUUGUUGCAGUUAAAAAGCUCGUAGUUGAAUUUUAGGUCUGACCGGGCGGUCCGUCUCUGGCGAGUACUGUUCUGCUGUCGGGUCUAUCCUUCUGGUGAGCCGGUAUGUCCUUAAUUGGGUGUGUCGGGGAACCAGGACCAUUACCUUGAAAAAAUUAGAGUGUUUAAAGCGGGCUUUUGCUUGAAUAGAUUAGCAUGGAAUAAUAGAAUAGGACGUUGGUUCUAUUUUGUUGGUCUAGGACCACCGUAAUGAUUAAUAGGGACAGUUGGGGGCAUUAGUAUUCAAUUGUCAGAGGUGAAAUUCUUGGAUUUAUUGAAGACUAACUACUGCGAAAGCAUUUGCCAAGGAUGUUUUCAUUAAUCAAGAACGAAAGUUAGGGGAUCGAAGACGAUCAGAUACCGUCGUAGUCUUAACCAUAAACUAUGCCGACUAGGAAUCGGGCGACGUUAUCUUCAUGACUCGCUCGGCGCCUUAUGGGA